This 304-nucleotide ribosomal RNA is filed under the name uncultured bacterium. RNAcentral's name for it is "partial 16S ribosomal RNA". It matches the Rfam family "Bacterial small subunit ribosomal RNA", at positions 506 to 807 of the family's 1533-position model. The record is from RNAcentral.
CAGCAGUAGCCGCGGUAAUACGUAGGUGGCAAGCGUUGUCCGGAAUUAUUGGGCGUAAAGGGCUCGCAGGCGGUUUCUUAAGUCUGAUGUGAAAGCCCCCGGCUCAACCGGGGAGGGUCAUUGGAAACUGGGAAACUUGAGUGCAGAAGAGGAGAGUGGAAUUCCACGUGUAGCGGUGAAAUGCGUAGAGAUGUGGAGGAACACCAGUGGCGAAGGCGACUCUCUGGUCUGUAACUGACGCUGAGGAGCGAAAGCGUGGGGAGCGAACAGGAUUAGAUACCCCUGUAGUCCCUGUCUCUUAUAC